GAUGAACGCUGGCGGCGUGCCUAAUACAUGCAAGUCGAGCGAACGGACGAGAAGCUUGCUUCUCUGAUGUUAGCGGCGGACGGGUGAGUAACACGUGGAUAACCUACCUAUAAGACUGGGAUAACUUCGGGAAACCGGAGCUAAUACCGGAUGAUAUUUUGAACCGCAUGGUUCAAAAGUGAAAGACGGUCUUGCUGUCACUUAUAGAUGGAUCCGCGCUGCAUUAGCUAGUUGGUAAGGUAACGGCUUACCAAGGCAACGAUGCAUAGCCGACCUGAGAGGGUGAUCGGCCACACUGGAACUGAGACGCGGUCCAGACUCCUACGGGAGGCAGCAGUAGGGAAUCUUCCGCAAAGGGCGAAAGCCUGACGGAGCAACGCCGCGUGAGUGAUGAAGGUCUUCGGAUCGUAAAACUCUGUUAUUAGGGAAGAACAUAUGUGUAAGUAACUGUGCACAUCUUGACGGUACCUAAUCAGAAAGCCACGGCUAACUACGUG
This 497-nucleotide ribosomal RNA is filed under the name uncultured bacterium. RNAcentral's name for it is "partial 16S ribosomal RNA". It matches the Rfam family "Bacterial small subunit ribosomal RNA", at positions 28 to 507 of the family's 1533-position model. The record is from RNAcentral.